ACAGUGCAGGGCAUCACAGACCUCAAAGCGGUCCAGAGAGAAGAAAACUUACCGUGCCAUAUGGUGUCUAGCCCCACUGCUUACCUAGAGCGGAUGCCAGCAUGCAUUUCUCCUCACCUGCAUCUCUUCAUUUCUCUGUGUGCUGUUACAGGCAUAGCUCUGAGCACCGCGCUGCAAUGGUGAGAGCUGCCAGCAAGGUGACACUAAUGCUGCUCAGGAAGCAUACAGCACUCAUUACUUUAGACAGCACUUAUGAUGAUACAAGACUGGAUACACACUUCUGCCAAAAUGAACCCUUCUGCUUCAGAGGGCAGGAAGAAGAGGAGAUAAAAGCUGAAAUAAAAAGCUGAAGGUGAAGCAAUAUGCACUGCUGAAAAAAGAUCUGGGGCGUGCUUCUGGCCUCCUGGAGAGAUGCUUCUUUCUCCCCUGCCCUAAAGGCUUGUUUCUUAGCCAUGUCUGUCUCACGAUGAACUUGGGCUUUAAAAACUGCUUCUGACGAUUUUGGACGUGAGCCACUGUCUGCAGUGGCACAGCGGUUGUGCACACACUGGACUACUUACCAAGCUCUGCUAAUAGGCAGGCUUUCAAAGAAAGACCUCUUGGAAUAGAUGUUCCUUUGCUUUCAAACCAGCAACAAAUCUGCACAUUUGGCACCAUAUGCACCAAAAGGGAGAAAGGCAGAGCAGUAGGUGGAAAACUGAGCCUCUCCUGAACGUGCCUUCCCUCAAAGAUCACAUUUCCACUCUUUCAGUUGCAUGCCUGAUCUCACCCAGGCCAGCCUUGCCAUCAGUGUAGCUCAAGAAGAGCGCACCGGUGGGCUGGGCCGUGCAGGGGGCAGGAGCUUCCAGGGUGACAACUUUGCCUCUGCAAAGUCUGUGCUGGAUAUCAGUGCACAGCUGGUCUCAUACGCUGUGUACAGCUAAAAUGGUCAGUGAGAAAUUAAAAAAUACAUUUCAUGUGUAUAUGGUGAACAACACAAACUAGCUCCUGGCCUAUAUUAUUUCUUUUUGCAUCUGUUUAACCUUGAUCUGUGUAGGUCCCCCUAAUUAAUUUGGAGAUUCUGUUCACAGUUGAAAACAACACAAUCUCUUCAGAUGCAGCUGCUCACCAUCGCAUGAACUGAGUUUGGGAAGAUUACUUGGUCAGAGCUUAACACUUGCAGGGAAAUGCAGUAAAAUGUGUAAUUGAAGGACUUCAAGAUAUUAUUGUGUCACAGAAGAGCUUUAUUCCUACCUUUAAAACUCCAAAUCUCAAAAGCUUCAGUGUUCAGCCAACGCUCACCCUGUGUUUGUCUUUCCCUUAUCGUUCCAUCCCAAUGUAAAAAACAUCAGUCAGCAACCUCUUAGGCAAUAAUUUGGCAAAUGUUGUUCUCUAAAAGGGUAAAUGCAACCAAAUAUUGGUUUCUGGUCUGUAAAUAAAUCGAGCUGUUCAGUUCUGCUUUGAACUACAGAAACCAAAGCAGUAGCACAGUGGCUUUUACGUGACACAGUAGUACUUUAGACAAACUACAGUCUUUGUUUUAUUGACUGUACUUGAUAAGACCAUUCUGACAUCUUAAAAAAAUAAAAUUUAACUUAAUGCUGUUUAAUUUAACAUUAUUAUCUUACAUACUUUUCUUCACAAACAAAUAAAAUAAAAAGGGCUGGGACAUAAAAACACACUCGGGGGAGAUGGGGAUGAAAUAGAAAAGCAGAUGUAAAACCUCAGAUUUUUUUUUUAAGCUAUAAAUAAAUAGCAUGUUUAUAUAAAAUUAAUAGCAUACGAACUACAAGCACUGCACCUAACAAAAGCAUGCUUCCUGCCCAAAACCAGCAGGCAGCCUAAAGAAGUCCUAAAAAUAGAAUUCUCUAUGCUUUACACAAAUAAGCAUCAAUCUGCAACAUUUAUAACUCACACACAACAAAGUAACCUUCUAGUCCUCUGCAACAGGACCUUUCCCAGGACUAAAACCUUUAUCAUUAUUUGAUCAUCCGACUGAACUGAGAUGAAUUAGUAAAACAGAAAUCCUAAUUAAAAACAUGCCUGAUACGUAUUUUAUUUUUCCCUGGCUAACAGAAAUGUACUGCUGCUAGCACAUUUUAGUGUAAUUGUUCUUUUCACAGAAUGUUUUAAAAUAUUUGGAAAAAACAGAGAGAAGAUUUUCUCCUGAAGAAAUUCCAAAUACUGCUGGUCACAUAAAUCACAAAAUAGGGCAGUGAAGCAUGAUCAAUAUUUGUACAAUCCAUUUAUAAGCACAGAUAUCUUUCUUUUGUUAUAUCAAUGUGCUAUCCAAAACAUAUAUUGUUUCUAAGACAUUUCUGUGGGUUAUAUCACUGUACUGCACAUUUAGAAAUAAAGAACAAGUUUAACCCUGA
Molecule: non-coding RNA, 2354 nt
Organism: Phalacrocorax carbo (great cormorant)
Lineage: Eukaryota; Metazoa; Chordata; Aves; Suliformes; Phalacrocoracidae
Source: RefSeq, a predicted model, not a curated record